Molecule: unclassified non-coding RNA, 143 nt
Filed under: uncultured Helotiales
Lineage: Eukaryota; Fungi; Ascomycota; Leotiomycetes; Helotiales
Description: sequence contains ITS2
Source: RNAcentral
UAACCCUCAAGCCUAGCUUGGUGUUGGAGCCUGCCUCUGGGCAGCUCUUAAAAUCAGUGGCGGUGCCGUCUGGCUCUAAGCGUAGUAAUUUUUCUCGCUACAGAGUCCCGGUGGAUGCUUGCCAUCAACCCCUAAUUUUCUAU